GUUUAGUCUGUAGUCUAAUCUAGAAUAGCUGCAGUGACUAAUACUUUAUUUUUACUGGUAAAAAUGAGUUUCGACGGUAAUUAAAACCCAACGCUUUAGGCAUUUUCUCCAUCUCUGCAAGAGGUCAAAUCACCCAUUACUCUUCCACACUAUUAUUAAUUUAUAUUAUGUGUUUUUUUUUUUAUGAUCGUGAUAUGUAUAAACACGAAUAGUAUAUCGCCAGUAUUAAAGCAGUACAAAAACUUCUCCAUGAUACCAUUUCAGACACAAUGGCGUCAGGCACUGUAUUUUUUAUUGAUUACUUCUGGAUCUCAGUUCUUUACUUUAGAAGAUUUCAUUCAAUAUUGGAAAUUACAGAAACUUAAGUUAAUUUAUAAAAUUUCAACUAUCUAAUGUCGAUUUAAAAUUAAGUUUAAAUUGAACUAUUUACUAAGAAAAAUAUAUUCGAUAAUUUUAUUCAAUAAUGAAUAAUUUAACUAAUAUUCACCAUAUUAAAUAAAACACCGUGACUUCUUUGUUGGAUUAACAGAAAAAUAUUAUAUAAAAUAUCCAAGACAUUGAAUACAAGUCUUUAUCGUUCGUUUACAAUAAAAUGAAAAAUGACAUUUGAUUUGUAGGUUAGCAAAUAUUUAGAGAGUGUAUACAUAUUUAUUGUUCGAAACAGAUACAAUUGAACGUAUGCGAUAAAUUCAUUCAUUGAGUUUGUGAUGUUCAGCUAAAAAUUACUCUGAUAUUUUAUUUCCUAUAAAAAUUAUUUUAUUUUUUAUUAUAGAUAUCGAUUUCUAUUUCAAUGUCAAAUUGCUAAGGUAUUGAUUAUAACAAGAUGCCUACUUCUUUUUGAAUGUAUAAUUAAUUGUAACAAUUUUAGCUGUUGAAAUAAAUUUAAGAAAGUGCAUAUAAAUUUUGUAUUUUCACUAAUAGAAUGAU
Long non-coding RNA from Daktulosphaira vitifoliae (grape phylloxera), 927 nucleotides. RefSeq lists it as uncharacterized. The record is from RefSeq and is a predicted model, not a curated record. Lineage: Eukaryota; Metazoa; Arthropoda; Insecta; Hemiptera; Phylloxeridae. The transcript is spliced from 5 exons.